AUCUGGGCGGCGGAAUUCAGGAUGGCUGGCGUGCUCUCGCGGCGCGUCGGUCGUUUGAUAUUUCCGUCGCCAACUACCGCAGACGUCGCGACCUGUUCGCGGUCGGUCCCUGCUCGGAGGAGCCGUGUACGAGUUCGUUGUGUGCGCGCUUCUGGCGCGUUACACGGCGAAGACGCGGAUCUCUGGCUGGCCGUCGGACAGUAUGCUUAACGGUGUCCGGUGUCGUCGUCUCGUACGCGCGGCAUCGGUACCGGUCAGCGACGAAUUCUUCGGGCCUCUUUCCGACCCGUCUUGAAACACGGACCAAGGAGUCUAACAUGCGCGCGAGUCGCGGGGUAUCGAGCGUACUUUGGUGCGUUCGUUAUGUUGCGAAACCCGUACAUGUUGAAGGCGUAAUGAAAGUGAAUGGGGAAGAUGGUGUUCCGAGUUCACGUUCCGCGAUCGUCGGUAUCGCGGCCGGACAUCCGCAUUCCCGGGGCGUCUCAACGGCCCGUCGUUGAUGCGGACGGUCGUCUUUCGGGGCGGCCGUCGGUCGGCGAUGAACCGA
Molecule: ribosomal RNA, 547 nt
Filed under: Clavaspis nr. covilleae D0833C
Lineage: Eukaryota; Metazoa; Arthropoda; Insecta; Hemiptera; Diaspididae
Description: eukaryotic LSU rRNA
Source: RNAcentral